CCCAAUCCCAGGCAGCUGUUUCUCAGCUGUUUGCAACAAGCUUCUAGAAAUUUUUGCCCCUUAAUUACAGUUUACAGCGGGCCUUACAGGAACAAACCAUUUUGGGCUCGCCUGAGGCCGUUAUAGACCCACCGGGUGGGGUCUUCGCUGGGCAGGGGAGGGAGACUCAGCCUUAAAGCUGGAACUGGUUUUUCUAGUUCCCAGGCCCUGAGCAGGUUCUUCCCUGGGUUUCUUUUUCUGCGGAUUUGCAAAUGACAUGGGACUCUCUGUCACAAAGAAUCCUAGGAGGCCAAAGCCCAGAAGGGUGCCUCUCAGACAAUGCUGGAAGUUUCAGAACUAGCUGAACUCCUUUGUUUACCACAUCCGACACCCCAGACGCCAUGUCACCUCCCCACCAGCUUUCAGGCACACUGAUGAAGCCAGAAAGAAAGAAAGUCAUAGCAUGUCACCUGAGGCCUGAUUCCAGUCAACAUCCUGCCCAAUUCACGCAUGCUCUCUGGAAGCCACGGGGUGGAGUAACACUGACUUGUUGCCUUGCUUCAAAGACCACCAUCAGCACCUUGCCAGACCAACGUGCAUUGCUUACAGCCAGUUGAAGGGAUAAGGCAAAGGCCUAGCCAGCCCUGCACACAUCAGUACAUGGAAAUAGGGUCCAGUAUAGCCAAAAUGGAGAUAAUUGCUCUUCUUUCAAGGAGAGCUGUCCUUUCAAGGAGAGCUCCACAGAGACCGACACCGAUAAAGAAGGAGCACCGCUCGCUUUGGAAGAGCAGGCUGCUUAACCUGCCGGUGGGAGUCUGGGAACGGCUCUGUCAGUGAGGCAUCCUCACUUCCUCUGCUGGGAGCAGGGUCACUUCCGCCCUCAGCCCCUGCACCCUGACUAGGACAGCGGGCCCUCCUCCUCCACGCACCGUGCAGUGUGGACUCCAAGACAUCACAUCUCCCAAGUGUAACUAGAAGCCGCUAGAGUACUGUUUUGCCACCUCUGUGGAAACAUGUAUGGAAAAACGCAUAGCUAGCUGAACGCCCAGCGAACA
Long non-coding RNA from Chinchilla lanigera (long-tailed chinchilla), 1034 nucleotides. RefSeq lists it as uncharacterized. The transcript has 3 exons. The record is from RefSeq and is a predicted model, not a curated record. Lineage: Eukaryota; Metazoa; Chordata; Mammalia; Rodentia; Chinchillidae.